CAGAACACAUUAGCCACUACAAAUUUGAAUAUAAAAAAAUAAAUCCAACAGAAUUUGGUAUAAACAUCAAUAAAGGCUAUAUAUUAUCUACUAUCUUUUACUGAAGCAUCCUUGCCUUCUUUACAAUGAUUAGCAACUUGUAAUCUUUGAUGCUUUCUAUCUUCUUCAUUCUUUGUAUUUCGAAUUCUUUGAUCAAGUUAAGCACUUGCAUGCUUUUGGUUCCUUGGAUUGUGCAGGUAUUCUAAUUUGAUAUAAUCCCAAACGUCCUUUGUGGAUUCCAACUUUAUGAUCCUUGUGAUUAUUGAGCUUGACACAGAAGAGAACUGGCAGGCUUUAGCUUUGGACUUCCUUGUCUUCUUUUCUUUGCGAAUCUUUAUUUGAGUCAUCGUAAGAUUUUAAGGUAGUAGAGAAAUGUCAUAAUCUUCCUCUAAGGCCUUCCAGAGAGAUCUAAUGCUUCAAGAUGGACUGUCAUUCUUUUAGUCCAAGCUUGGUAAUUAUCGCCGUAAAAAACUGGUGGCGUAAUAUGUGAGAUGGAUGUCUCAAAUUCCAUGCUUGGCAAGUGUUUAAGUUUCAGGUUUUGUGUUUGAGAUUUGGUUUGUGUUCGUGUGCUCACUCAUCUGACAAAUCCCUCAAAGAAUUUUUUUUAAUACCAAUUUGUUGUCAUUUGAAC
Molecule: long non-coding RNA, 670 nt
Filed under: Olea europaea (common olive)
Lineage: Eukaryota; Viridiplantae; Streptophyta; Magnoliopsida; Lamiales; Oleaceae
Description: long non-coding RNA (OEUR_LNC012901)
Source: RNAcentral